RNAcentral lists this ribosomal RNA (467 nucleotides) under uncultured bacterium. Its description in RNAcentral is "partial 16S ribosomal RNA". It matches the Rfam family "Bacterial small subunit ribosomal RNA", at positions 28 to 507 of the family's 1533-position model. The record is from RNAcentral.
GAUGAACGCUGGCGGCGCGCCUAACACAUGCAAGUCGAACGAUUAAAGCACCUUCGGGUGUGUAUAAAGUGGCGAACGGCUGAGUAACACGUGGGCAACCUGCCCCUUUCAUUGGGAUAGCCACGGGAAACCGUGGAUAAUACCGAAUACUUCGAGACUUCCGCAUGGAAGACUCGAGAAAGCUCCGGCGGAGAGGGAUGGGCCCGCGGCCUGUUAGCUUGUUGGUGGGGUAACGGCCUACCAAGGCAAUGAUGGGUAGCUGGGUUGAGAGACCGACCAGCCAGAUUGGGACUGAGACACGGCCCAGACUCCUACGGGAGGCAGCAGUGGGGAAUCUUGCACAAUGGGCGAAAGCCUGAUGCAGCGACGCCGCGUGCGGGAUGAAGGCCUUCGGGUUGUAAACCGCUUUCAGCAGGGACGAGGCGAAAGUGACGGUACCUGCGGAAGAAGCCCCGGCUAACUACGUG